GUAUGAUAACUGAGCAAGUAAAGAACAUGAGCAAGUAGGUAGAAUCAUGAAUAUCUAGCUAUGCCUCAAUCUGAUAUCAUGCAUGCAUGAACAAUAAAUAAAGCUGGGUAGUAAGCUACUAUGAACAACAACAACAAGUAAGCUAUCAUAAACAACCAUAGGGAAGCUACUAUAAACAACAUGUAAUGAGUGUGACUCAAUAAGUUACCCAAUCUCAUGGUGAACUCGAAGUUCACAAGCAUAACUCACGUGUAAGUCUCAUAGGGAAAGUCUCACUGAACUACUCCCGAGACCGCCUGCGGACAGCACACAGACCGUCCAGACAGCACACUGACUGUCCCUCUAGUGACCAACCUCCGGAGUGCACAGCUUGCGGGGAGCGACCCCUCCAAGCGCAGACAGGCUAUGUGAGCACGAUCAACUCACGAACAACAGCAACCUACCCUCUAAGGGUAAUCUCAUCAUGGAAUCAAGGUGUUCUUGUACCCAAUCUCAUAGUGUCUCAACUACACUAAGGUUCUCAUAUCAAAAUUAUCAAUAACCAUAUGUCCUUCAUCAUAGUUUUCUAUAACUAGAUGCCACUUGUCAUAGUUUUCUAAACUAGAUGCCACUCGUCAUUUAGACUCAUUUUCAACACUAGUUACAUCAUACUAGUUCUUUAAUCUCAUAAACAUUAACCAUCACAUAUAGGGUCUAGGUUUUC
RNAcentral lists this long non-coding RNA (703 nucleotides) under Ananas comosus (pineapple). Its description in RNAcentral is "long non-coding RNA (ACOM_LNC034152)". The record is from RNAcentral. Lineage: Eukaryota; Viridiplantae; Streptophyta; Magnoliopsida; Poales; Bromeliaceae.